UACGUAGGGGGCUAGCGUUGUCCGGAAUCAUUGGGCGUAAAGCGCGUGUAGGCGGUCCGGUAAGUCCGCUGUGAAAGUCGGGGGCUCAACCCUCGAAUGCCGGUGGAUACUGUCGGGCUAGAGUGCGGAAGAGGCGAGUGGAAUUCCUGGUGUAGCGGUGAAAUGCGCAGAUAUCAGGAAGAACACCAAUGGCGAAAGCAGCUCUCUGGGACGGUACUGACGCUGAGACGCGAAAGCGUGGGGAGCGAACAGG
This 253-nucleotide ribosomal RNA is filed under the name uncultured bacterium. RNAcentral describes it as "partial 16S ribosomal RNA". It matches the Rfam family "Bacterial small subunit ribosomal RNA", at positions 524 to 776 of the family's 1533-position model. The record is from RNAcentral.